AUUGAACGCUGGCGGCAUGCCUUACACAUGCAAGUCGAACGGCAGCACGGGAGCAAUCCUGGUGGCGAGUGGCGAACGGGUGAGUAAUAUAUCGGAACGUGCCCAGUCGUGGGGGAUAACUACUCGAAAGAGUGGCUAAUACCGCAUAUUCUGUGAGCAGGAAAGCAGGGGAUCGCAAGACCUUGCGCUGAUUGAGCGGCCGAUAUCAGAUUAGCUAGUUGGUGGGGUAAAGGCCUACCAAGGCUACGAUCUGUAGCGGGUCUGAGAGGAUGAUCCGCCACACUGGAACUGAGACACGGUCCAGACUCCUACGGGAGGCAGCAGUGGGGAAUUUUGGACAAUGGGGGCAACCCUGAUCCAGCCAUGCCGCGUGAGUGAAGAAGGCCUUCGGUUGUAAAGACGUCGUUCGGUCCGGGAAGGAAAUCGCGUAGGCGUAAUACCCUAGUGUGGAUGACGGUACCGGAA
This 465-nucleotide ribosomal RNA is filed under the name uncultured bacterium. RNAcentral describes it as "bacterial SSU rRNA". It matches the Rfam family "Bacterial small subunit ribosomal RNA", at positions 30 to 483 of the family's 1533-position model. The record is from RNAcentral.